CUUCUUCCUUCACCAGUUGACCAACUGGUUUGCCAUUAACAAGUGUAGGGGGAAUAUAUUCUAAGGACAUACCAUUUGCGGCAAGUCUGUUACUCUGGAAGAGACUAGUCCACUGUUUAGGUGGAUCUAACCCUUCCUUUGUAGCAGAUUUUGUAUCAUCAGCUGGUGUUGCUUGUUGCAUGCAGAUCUGGACUCCAUUCUCAGGCUCCAUCGGACCAGUUACAGACUUAAUUGGAGGCUCUGUACUCUUAACAUUUGCUACUGGUAUCACUGAGACUCCAGAUGGUUGUGGAUCUGGUGUUACUUGAAGCAAUGGAACAGUGCUCGCAGCAGGAUUCAACGGAAUAGUAGUUCCUACUAUCGGUAUAGUGGUAACAGCUUUUGGUAUCACCUGAACUCCAGUUGGUUGUGGAUAUGUUGUUGCUUGAGGCAAUGGAACAGCAAUCACAGUAGGAUUUGAUGGAAC
Molecule: long non-coding RNA, 466 nt
Filed under: Nicotiana benthamiana
Lineage: Eukaryota; Viridiplantae; Streptophyta; Magnoliopsida; Solanales; Solanaceae
Description: long non-coding RNA (NBEN_LNC026526)
Source: RNAcentral